RNAcentral lists this unclassified non-coding RNA (434 nucleotides) under soil metagenome. RNAcentral describes it as "partial contains 5.8S ribosomal RNA, internal transcribed spacer 2, and large subunit ribosomal RNA". The stretch from base 1 to 120 matches the Rfam family "5.8S ribosomal RNA", at positions 35 to 154 of the family's 154-position model. The record is from RNAcentral.
GAUGAAGAACGCAGCGAAAUGCGAUACGUAAUGUGAAUUGCAGAAUUCAGUGAAUCAUCGAAUCUUUGAACGCAUAUUGCGCUCUUUGGUAUUCCGAAGAGCAUGCUUGUUUAAGUAUCAGUAAACACCUCAAAGCUUUUGGAUUUUUUAAUCGAAAAGCUUUGGACUUGAGCAAUCCCAACACCAAUCUUUUUGAGAUCGGUGGCGGGUUGCUUGAAAUGCAGGUGCAGCUGGACAUUCUCCUGAGCUAAAAGCAUAUUCAUUUAGUCCCGUCAAACGGAUUAUUACUUUUGCUGCAGCUAACAUAAAGGGAGUUUGACCGUAUUGGCUGACUGAUGCAGGAUUUCACAAGGGUCGGCAACGAUUCUUGUUAAACUCGAUCUCAAAUCAAGUAAGACUACCCGCUGAACUUAAGCAUAUCAAUAAGCGGAGGA